UUGUAUCCCAGACUGGCCUCAGAUUCAUAAAGAUCCUCCUGCCUCAGCCUCCUGAGUGCUGGAUUACAGGCGUGUGGGGCUCUACACAUACUCUUGACAUGGUAGUUUGUCUGGUAACAGACACAAAAAGGAGAAGACCAUGUAGAGAUGGAGACAGAAAUUACAGUGAAGCUGCCCACGAAAUGCCUGGAAGCACUAGAAGCUGGAAGGAUCAAGGAAACACCUAAGAAGUGGAUAAGAAGGAGCACUGCUCUGAUGACACUUUGACUUUGGACUUCUGAUCCUCAGUAUAAAAGAAUAAAUUUCUUUUGUUUUGA
Chinchilla lanigera (long-tailed chinchilla) is the source of this 317-nucleotide long non-coding RNA. RefSeq lists it as uncharacterized. The record is from RefSeq and is a predicted model, not a curated record. NCBI's taxonomy places the organism in Eukaryota, Metazoa, Chordata, Mammalia, Rodentia, Chinchillidae. The transcript has 2 exons.